UACGUAGGGGGCAAGCGUUAUCCGGAUUUACUGGGUGUAAAGGGAGCGUAGACGGUCCUGCAAGCCAGAUGUGAAAGCCCGGGGCUCAACCCCGGGACUGCAUUUGGAACUGUAAGGCUAGAGUGUCGGAGAGGCAGGCGGAAUUCCUAGUGUAGCGGUGAAAUGCGUAGAUAUUAGGAGGAACACCAGUGGCGAAGGCGGCCUGCUGGAUGAUGACUGACGUUGAGGCUCGAAAGCGUGGGGAGCAAACAGG
Molecule: ribosomal RNA, 253 nt
Filed under: uncultured bacterium
Lineage: Bacteria
Description: partial 16S ribosomal RNA
Rfam family: Bacterial small subunit ribosomal RNA
Source: RNAcentral